CAGUAGCCGCGGGAAUACGUAGGUCCCGAGCGUUGUCCGGAUUUAUUGGGCGUAAAGCGAGCGCAGGCGGUUAGAUAAGUCUGAAGUUAAAGGCUGUGGCUUAACCAUAGUACGCUUUGGAAACUGUUUAACUUGAGUGCAAGAGGGGAGAGUGGAAUUCCAUGUGUAGCGGUGAAAUGCGUAGAUAUAUGGAGGAACACCGGUGGCGAAAGCGGCUCUCUGGCUUGUAACUGACGCUGAGGCUCGAAAGCGUGGGGAGCAAACAGGAUUAGAUACCCCCGUAGUCCCGUCUCUUAUACAC
RNAcentral lists this ribosomal RNA (301 nucleotides) under uncultured bacterium. RNAcentral's name for it is "partial 16S ribosomal RNA". It matches the Rfam family "Bacterial small subunit ribosomal RNA", at positions 509 to 809 of the family's 1533-position model. The record is from RNAcentral.